Molecule: signal recognition particle RNA, 281 nt
Filed under: Cebus imitator (Panamanian white-faced capuchin)
Lineage: Eukaryota; Metazoa; Chordata; Mammalia; Primates; Cebidae
Description: Metazoan signal recognition particle RNA (ENSCCAG00000004381.1)
Rfam family: Metazoan signal recognition particle RNA
About the family: The signal recognition particle (SRP) is a universally conserved ribonucleoprotein. It is involved in the co-translational targeting of proteins to membranes.
Source: RNAcentral
GCCAGGCACAGUGGCGCAUGCCUGUAGUCCCAGCUACUUGGGAGUCUGAGGUGGGAGGAUCCCUUGAGCCCAGGAGUUCUGGGCUGAAGUGCGUUAUGCUGAUGGGUGCCCACACUGUUUGGCAUCAAUAUGGUGACCUCCUGGGAGCAGGAGACCACCAGGUUGCCUAAGGAGGGGUGAGAACAAACCAGAUCAAAACUCCCCCGCUGAUCAGUAGUGGGAUUGCGCCUGUGAAUAGCCACUGCACUCCAGCCUGGGCAACAUAGUGAGACAUCAUCUCU